This 22-nucleotide ribosomal RNA is filed under the name Callicostella papillata. RNAcentral's name for it is "partial 18S ribosomal RNA". Lineage: Eukaryota; Viridiplantae; Streptophyta; Bryopsida; Hookeriales; Callicostaceae. The record is from RNAcentral.
UGAACUUGCAAAAGGAUCAUUG